CGCCGCGCAAUCAGACAUAGCGCUCAGUCGGCGCACGGGUCACCUGCCGUCAACAGGGUUUGCGACAUUUGACGUGCAUGCGUAUAAUAACUACGUAUUUACUUUUAACUUGGUAACGUAUUUUUCCACUGUUUUUCAAAUAAAUACUCAACUA
Molecule: long non-coding RNA, 154 nt
Organism: Ostrinia furnacalis (Asian corn borer)
Lineage: Eukaryota; Metazoa; Arthropoda; Insecta; Lepidoptera; Crambidae
Exons: 2
Source: RefSeq, a predicted model, not a curated record